CAGGGAGAUUUGAGUCCAUUAUGAACAGAGCAUUUUUAAUCUCCUGGGGAAAAGGAAGCUGAGCCAGACCAGCCAUUCUGAAUUACCCGACAAGCAUUAUCCCCCUAGUUAGUGCUUGCAACUGAGGAGCAGCAGAUCUGGAGUUCUCAUCAAGCCCUGCCGUUGUCUUUAAGAUGCUGCUUAAUUUUGAUGCUUGCAUACCCCUUUGGGGACCAAGAGGCUGAAUUAAUUAACAUUUAAUGUACCUUGAGAUCUUGAACUGGAAGGAACUGUAAAAAUACAAAAUAUUAAUAUAUUGCAACAGUUCUAGGCUAAGCCCAAGGAGAUGUUUCAUAGCACACAGGACCAGUGCACAUGAACUCACACUCAGGUGUGCAAACGCGUGUAGGCAUCUAAGUUUGGGGGAGUUGUUUCUGUAACCAGGCUUUCUGUUUCAGCUUCACAUCUGCAGACUGGCCUAAUAGUAUUUCCUAAUAGACUGGGAGGUAUGUAGAUAUUGCACUGAAAAGUGUCACGGUAAUAAAAAUCUUCAGUCUCUAAGGUAGGUAGAUAAAUAAGGGGUUGGAAACUGCAUUGCACCAAACCUGGCCAACUGCAGCCCAGCCAGUAAAAAAAUAUUAUGAAGGUAAAGGGGGAGGCAAAGGAAAAGGGGAGAGGAAAUGGGAUACGAAGUGUGAUCAAAGAAGAACGAACUGAAAGCGGGGUAAAUGUGUCAAAUAAAUAGUGAUAAUGAAAUCCUAACGAAAAGCCUUCUGACAUUUGUUCUAACCUAUAGUUCGCUUUCUCUCCCGCCUCCGUUCUGUGUCUCGUAGGUUUUGUUAGCUAUGACAAUCCAGUCUCUGCACAAGCUGCUAUCCAGGCUAUGAACGGCUUUCAGAUUGGCAUGAAACGCUUGAAGGUUCAGCUGAAACGCUCCAAAAAUGACAGCAAACCUUACUGAUCUUAACCCCAGAUGCUUACUGCUCUUAUUUUAGCUUUCUUAGGACAUCUCCAUGCCCGUUAGCCCAUCGUUUGCCUAGCAUGUCCCUGUGGCGUCUCAAAAAAAAAAAAGUUUCAUCGUCCCGUCAUUGUUUCUGAUGUCUUUCUGACCUCACAUCAUAUUUGGUUCUCCUACUGACCUUUGAUCUAGUUUGACCUUUGAAAUUUGCAUGUGACCUCAUCUAGCUAUGAAUUCUGGGAAGUCAAUGUGAAAAAACAUUGCUGCAUUCAUGCAAGACUGAAAUUUAUUAUUAGAUAAAUUAAUGAUAGGAUUUAAAAACAACCUGUGGCAAAAUGUUUUUUCUUUCUUUCCUUUUUUUUCGGUUUUCUUUUUUCCUUUGGGUUCUUUUUUUUUUGUUUGGAUUUUUUGUUUUGUUUGGUUUGGUUGAUUUUUUUUUUUUCAUUUCGUAAAAAAAAAAAUAAAAAAAAAAAACAGACUUGAAAGUAUUAUACAGGGAUUGGCAUUCUGCCUGGUCACUGGUGACAAUAGCAAUAUGUGUCCAGAGGCACAGAAUGUUGGUUUCUAACAGACUACUUCCAAAACAGUUUGAGAAAUAAAACUGUCUGAUUUUAAGUCUCUAGAGGUCUGUAAUAGUUUUUACAUUUUUCAGGCAGUGUAAAGUUUUUUGAUAAGGCCAUUUUAGGUGGCUCACUUUCUCAUUAAAGUAUAUAUAUAGAACCACUUUUUGUAGAUUAGUAUAAGAAAAUAUUUACCCUGUUUUAGGGCAAAUGCUACCUACUUGUGUCACCUUUUGCUGAACUGACUCACAGUUAGACAAUCCAUGGUUUAAUGCACAUGAAAUUACCUAUAUUUUAUACUGUUUCAAUGUACAGAAGAAAGGUUACUGUAAAAUGUGUUACGUUGGUGCUUCUGUGAAUUAAGUUGUGGUUUCAUCAUGAGUCUUAUGGUCUUAAGUGUUCUAUGUUUAUAAAAGGCGAGUUUAAAAUUGGUUUACUUGAACAACAAGAACAAAAACAAGAUUCAAAAAAAAAAACAAAAAAAAAGACAAAAAAAAGUUGUUUGCUUAAAAAAAAUGAAUUUCAUGUGAAAAAUGAAAAAAUAUUCCAGAAUAAGUUUGUGUUGGCUUGUGACGCAUUGAUGUCAUUUUUUUAUUGUGAACAAUUUAGAUGUGUUUGUGUUCAGCAAAAUGUGAUCGGUUUUUCUUUUAAAGAAAAAAAAAAAAUCAGUGAAACUAUAGUGCCAAAUUCCAAAGGUACUUUCUUCCUAGAGCUUCAGUGUGUUUCUUGUGUGAAGUAAUUUGAUAACAUGGGUAUUUUAUUAUGUGUUUUGUAUAAAUCCCUAAUAUUUAAAGAAAAAAGAGGUUAAAAAGUUUGUUAACUUGCUAUCCUGUGGUCUUGUUGCCUGAAAUUGUUAUUGUUUGUUAUUUCUCUUUGAUGUUUUUUGUAAAACAUUGUAUAAGUGCCCAUGUUUCACUUUUUUAACCACUCUGCACACAUCAAUGCUGUGAAAGCAAACCUCACUAUGUAUUUUCUUCAUAUUGUAUGGAAACCUCUAAGGUGAGAAAGUUUUGAACUUUUAACCCUUUCCACCCAGAGCUGUCUCGAGUGUUAAUACCUUUUAUACAUUCACCAUUUUGCUGUUUAUUUUUAUAUAUAUAUCUAUAUCUAUAAAUAUAUAUAUACUUAGUUUUUUGUGGUUUAUUUAAUACAUGGUUGAAAUCAGAACAAUGCACAGGGCAGAUCUGAAGGACAAAAAUAUUUUACUGCUGUCUAAAUUUCUUCUGUAUCUAUAACUAAAAUUAUUUAAAACCGUAAUUAACUUGUGGGUUUCCUUUUUAGAUUUCGGGGAUUUUGUCUUUUCUUAAAGAGCUUUUAAUAUGCUGCUGGAAUAUGCUAUUCAGUAUUAAUAAAAUAAAAGAAAAAGAAAACAAUUCUUUAAUUAUCUAUUGUGUGAGCCACUCCCAGACAGGAGUGGUAAAUCCACCAUUUGAAAACCUUGAGGAGAAAAAAAAAAAAUAAUAAUAUUUUUGUAAUUUAAAUAAAUGAACUUUUGCUUAAAUCAGAUGCACUAGAUCUUCCUGGGUGAAAAUUCAGUGUGCACUGCAGUUAAACUACUUUUUAUGGAUAAAGUUUACAUACACUGUAAUGUUUGGUGUUAUCUGCCAUUAUUUGUAACGGCAAUAUAUUGGCUUACUCCUGCAGACACUCGUAUAGAGAGGAGUAACUUUACUCGUCCAAGUAGUCCAUGGGAAUUUAUUUGUGACCGAUGUGGGUGUUUGCUGGAGGAAGCUCUGUGUAAGGAACCAGAAAAAAGAUGCUGGUAGCCCUUUUCACUGCCUUGUAAGUCUGAUUUGAUUGCAUUUCGACCGCACAAGUAGUGGCCAACAACCAAAUUUGGUUUUUUCCUACCGUUAUAGAGAAUUCAUUGCCAAUCCAAUGCGUGCGAGCAGCAGUACCUGCUACUGAUGAUAAAGUGCCAUACCUUCUUCCACUUCCUAUUUCUAUCUGAUUAUAUUCGAAGCCGCCUAAAAUUAAAAACAAAGCCCUAUACAAACAACAUCAGCUGGUGCACUCUUGUCUCUCAUCCCCAACUUAAACGCUUCUUUAUGUAGAGCCCUGGGAUGGAAAGGACUAGCCUCUAGUGAUGCAAAAAAAAAGUUUCCUUCUUAUAGCACAUGCACUUAUAAAUAAAUGAUCUAUACUUUUCUCACAUGUUUUUACUACUGCUGGGGCCUUCCUACACCCUUUGAGGGCUAUUUUGUACUACUUGCAGCAAUUUUGCAUAUUCAAAGUAUCAUCUCACGUACGUUAUAUUAUAUAUAUGUACAUAUAUAUAUAAUAUGAGAUCAUCAUUUGGAUUGUUUAGACUGUUUCACUAAUUUUUUCUCAUUGUACCCACCGUAUAAAUCUCCAAAGCUUUUUUUUAGAUGCCCUAGUGUGUCCUGCGGGUUUACCAGUCCGGUUAGAGCGGCGAUGCCUUUGGUCCUGGGGCAGUGUAACUCGGCAUCGGGCUGCCCCGAAUUACUCUACGCAGGACAUUGGCUUAGCAGCAGGAGAGGAGGAAUGUUUCUGUACUUCCAGGCAAUUGAGACGGGUCAUGGCUGAGAAAAGUGUCCAUCUUGAAAUAAAAUUAAAAGAAAAAAAAAAAUCAAAUAAAAAACCAAAAACCCAAACAUACACCUCCUUGGAGACAAAUUAUCUACUAGUUCUCUUUCAAAAUAUUGAAAGGAAAAAGCUGCAAGGGUGCAAGGGCCUAAUAAGAGAGGAAGAAAAACAAGGGAAAUUGCUUUACAAAAUUCUAAUCAAAAGACUAGACUAGUUGUUUUUUCAAAUAAAUUAGCUAAUUGCGAUGAAAUGGCAGUCCUCAAAGGAGUAACAAGUUCAUCUUUCUUUCACCAUAGGGGUUACAGUUCCUUGGCUUGUGCUACUCUGGAAUCAUUUUACUGUUUCUGUUUUUAUUAUCUUAAGUGCUAAUUAACAAAAGGAAAAAAAAUAUCCUGUAGUUUCAUUACCUUUUUGGAUAAUGUAAUACAAAAAAAAAAAAAAAACAAACCUAUGUAUUUGUGUUUUUUUUGUGCUGUGAGAAUUGUUGUUUGUAGAUUAAUAAUACUAUCAUUUUGUUUAGAAUUACAAACUAGUUUUUAAGUAUUGUCUGAGAAAAGCCAAAGUUAAUGCAAUCUAGUGGAAGCUGUAAGACCAUUUGAGUAUUGUUUCUGUUUUAUUGAUGCAUUUGGAUUUUGUUGUUUGAUGGAAUUUGAGCCAAAAAAAAAAAAAGAACAAAAAAAAGAAAAAAAAAAAGCAGGCUUUCCUAUUUCUACAACUUGAUUGUACUUAUGCAUUUUGUACCAGUGGAACUUUUUAUACUGGAGAUUAAAAAACAAAUGGAAAUUUUUGUGGCUUACUCUCGUGGGCCCCCUCGAUCAUGACUGAUUUUCAAGUUUGAUUUCUGGAUGGUAGAAAGAGAGUUGGUUUUGUUUAGAGAAUUCAAAACUUUGGCUUGAUUUCUUUUUUUCCCUUUGCUUAUAUCUAGUGUUUAGAAUUUUGUCUUAACAAAAGCGGUAAGUUUCACUUUUUAUUCUGUAUCGUGCAGUUACACAAUAAGGUAAUUAGAAUUAGGAGUACUCGGUCACUUUGCGUGGAUAAAUGUAUUAGUUAAACCGUUAGGGGUUUGCUUUUUUGCUGUUUAGAUCAGAGUUUUUUCUGAUUCUUCUGUCCUCAUUGUGAACAUAACCGUGUAGUUGAAACAGUCAGACUUAUUUUUGUAACGUAUGUUAUUGUGUGAUGCAGUUUUUUGCUUCUGUCUCCAAUAUUAAACCAUUUUCCUAAUACUUGUCUCUCUACUUUGUGUGUUGUAUUGUUGGUGGUCAUUCUGUGUUGGUAAUACAUCUACACACCUCACUGUUUCACGUGCCUGUUUUUUUUUUUUCUCUAUUUGUUGGUUGUGUACAAAAGAUACAGUCGAUUCCACCUAAGUGAAUAUCUGAUUGGGGGGCAAAAGAGGAUUUGUACAUUUUAGACAUGUUAUGGUUUCUUUGAUUUUUUUUUUUUCUCUCUCUUCCUCCCCCUAGUCAUGCCCUAUCACUUGGAUAAUCUAUCGGAGCAGGAAACAUUUUAAAUGAGUUUCCUGCAAAGUCAUAUUGAAGGUAGCUUUUGUUAGCCUUCUAACUGCAAAAGGUUCUGCACACAAACACACAGAAGCCACCUGAAAAGACUUUUUUUUUUUGCUGUGACAUUUCAGUCAGUCUGGAAAAUGCGGAUUAUGGAGAUCAAUUCUUCCUAGUCAUUAAAAAAAUAAUAAUAAUACUCUGUUGCUACUUCGCAGAAGCAUAUGAAACAUUCAAGAAAAGGAAGAUAUAGCCUUGGGAUUUCUUCCAAAUUGCACAAUAAUCUGAUGGCAUAUGGUGUUAGUCAAACUCUCCUUAGAAACUAAUCACAUCUUAACUAGGGCUGUGAGAGCCUACCAGGUGAUCGAGCUUCUUAUGUGCAGUUAUACAUAUAAUAAUUAAAAAAUAAAAUAAAAUCCAAGUGAGCACAGGAAGACUUUCUAUUAAAUCCAGUAGAAGUUUUUAAAAAAUAAAAUAAAAAGAUAAAUAAGUGAUGGGAAAAAAAUCCCCUGUUGUUCAAAUGGGUGAUAUUUUUGCUGUGGGCUUACAAAGCAGAUCAUUCCCAGCAUUGGCUAAUAGUAUUACACAAAUCUCAAAAGGGACAAAAGAAAUACUGUAGCACUUUUUUUUAUUAUUAUUUUUUACAGUUGGCUUUUAGCUUUUUUUAUUCUUUCAUUUCCUAUAAUUUUUUCCUCCUCACAAGAAUCUCUCUGCUCUCCCCCAACCGGUGUCUACCAUGAUGAAAUAAAAGCUGCAAAAGAAAAAUCUAUGUUGUUCUGGUUUACAAGAAGUCUCUCUUCUCUGUCUGAUCACAGAUACAAACCUUACAAUUUGGAGAGGGGGAAAAAAAAAAUAAACAAAACCAACCAAACCAAACCCAAGGAGGAGAGAGCAGCACCGGCGAGUGCUCUCUGGAAUUCAAGCCAUACGCCCCCGUCCCUUUCCUUUGUCCCACUUUCUUUGAUGCUCAGGAAUCGAAGACCACUUAAAAGUGCUCUUAUGAGACCCAAACGACACUCCUCCCUCAUGUCUCCUCUCCCCUGGUCUUUCUGGCACUCUGGCUUUGGCUCACACACACAAACACACACAACCCCCUUAAGUAAUGUCCUACGAGGUCAUGGCGCACUGGGUGUUUCCGUGUUGGCUCCUGCGUUUGGAAGAGUUUUGAAAUUUUAUGGUGGCCCAUGAGUUGGCCUGGUUGUCGUUGCUCGAUACUUUUUUUUUCAAAAUUUUUUUUUUUUUGGCUUUUUUCACUUUUCUGUUUCCAUGAAAGGCAAAUAAGUGAUGAGUCUGGAGUCCCAAACAAGCUCAAGUGUCAUCUUACAGGGUCUGUUGUCAGAAGUCAGGGGUCCAAGGAAAUGCCUUCCGCGCAACUCUAAGUUUAAUCUAAAACCAUCUGUAGUGGACAGCCCAGGCAGGAGAGCAGAAACCGAUGGUCAGACUAUAUCCUGGGUCUCUGACACCUCUAGAGUUUAUGAUCCUGAGUUGGAUAAUAUUGACACCAGUGGAUUCAGUUGAGUAAGUCUUGACUUGCAUGAUUGAUAAAUCAGAAUUGGUCUCUGGCUUUUUUAGGUUGCUGUGAAUGUUUUGUUACUAUUUUUUUUCUUCAAAACUUGGUCUUAGGAAAGAAACUAGAGCUUUGUGAAGGGUCUUUUCUUCCAAAAAUAAGACUGAAAAAAAAGACUUAUACUGCAGUUGGGUUUCUUUUAAAUACUCAGGGCUGAAAGAUACAGGUUUUUCUUCUUUUUUUUUUUUAUUUCAACAAUGGGGAAAAAUGAAUUCCUUAAAGCAAUGCAGCUGAACAGUUUGUCCUGCUUAAAUGCAUGCUUUUUAAUUUCAAUUAUGUAAGGCACCUUGCAGUGUUAGCAAAAUGUCUCUUUGUUAGCUAUAUGUGUAUCGCCAUGGGAAAUUACCAAACUGUCACAAGACUUGCUGAUUAAAGAAUAGCCUGCCAGAGUGUGUGUGCCUUUGCCCAGUGUGACUCUUAGGUAUUAGGCUAAGGAAAACAGUUUAACAAAAUGUAGUGUGAAUCAUUCCUGAUAAGUGAAUAAAGCAUUGUGACCAAGCAAUCAGAUUAUUCACUUAUCAGGAAUCGACUGUACUGAUAGUUUGCCUGAUUGUUUUUGUUCUUCAUCUCUGUUGUAGUUUCACUACUUUGCUGUGUUCUGUUUUUUCUCUCAUGCUCUUAGCAAAAUCACUGGGAAUAUCCCUUCGUGUGAUCAUGAAACAUGCUACUGAGUAACAAAUAAAAAAAAAUUUUUAAAAUAUAAAAAUGAUAUCUUAACAAAAUCUAUGCACUUGCUAUCAGGAACACAAUACUGGAUGUGUCUUAUAUAUAUUGAACUAUAAUAGUAUUCGAUUUCUUAAAUAAAGCUUAAGAAAGGA
Long non-coding RNA from Calidris pugnax (ruff), 7928 nucleotides. RefSeq lists it as uncharacterized. The transcript is spliced from 2 exons. NCBI's taxonomy places the organism in Eukaryota, Metazoa, Chordata, Aves, Charadriiformes, Scolopacidae. The record is from RefSeq and is a predicted model, not a curated record.